This 1239-nucleotide ribosomal RNA is filed under the name Kocuria sp. RNAcentral describes it as "bacterial SSU rRNA". It matches the Rfam family "Bacterial small subunit ribosomal RNA", at positions 182 to 1428 of the family's 1533-position model. The record is from RNAcentral. Lineage: Bacteria; Bacillati; Actinomycetota; Actinomycetes; Micrococcales; Micrococcaceae.
GUCACCGCAUGGUGGCGUGUGGAAAGGGUUUUACUGGUUUUGGAUGGGCUCACGGCCUAUCAGCUUGUUGGUGGGGUAAUGGCUCACCAAGGCGACGACGGGUAGCCGGCCUGAGAGGGUGACCGGCCACACUGGGACUGAGACACGGCCCAGACUCCUACGGGAGGCAGCAGUGGGGAAUAUUGCACAAUGGGCGAAAGCCUGAUGCAGCGACGCCGCGUGAGGGAUGACGGCCUUCGGGUUGUAAACCUCUUUCAGCACGGAAGAAGCGAAAGUGACGGUACGUGCAGAAGAAGCGCCGGCUAACUACGUGCCAGCAGCCGCGGUAAUACGUAGGGCGCAAGCGUUGUCCGGAAUUAUUGGGCGUAAAGAGCUCGUAGGCGGUUUGUCGCGUCUGCUGUGAAAGCCCGGGGCUUAACCCCGGGUGUGCAGUGGGUACGGGCAGACUUGAGUGCAGUAGGGGAGACUGGAAUUCCUGGUGUAGCGGUGAAAUGCGCAGAUAUCAGGAGGAACACCGAUGGCGAAGGCAGGUCUCUGGGCUGUUACUGACGCUGAGGAGCGAAAGCAUGGGGAGCGAACAGGAUUAGAUACCCUGGUAGUCCAUGCCGUAAACGUUGGGCACUAGGUGUGGGGAACAUUCCACGUUUUCCGCGCCGUAGCUAACGCAUUAAGUGCCCCGCCUGGGGAGUACGGCCGCAAGGCUAAAACUCAAAGGAAUUGACGGGGGCCCGCACAAGCGGCGGAGCAUGCGGAUUAAUUCGAUGCAACGCGAAGAACCUUACCAAGGCUUGACAUACACCGGACCGGGCCAGAGAUGGUCUUUCCCCCUUGUGGGGCUGGUGUACAGGUGGUGCAUGGUUGUCGUCAGCUCGUGUCGUGAGAUGUUGGGUUAAGUCCCGCAACGAGCGCAACCCUCGUUCUAUGUUGCCAGCACGUGAUGGUGGGGACUCAUAGGAGACUGCCGGGGUCAACUCGGAGGAAGGUGGGGAUGACGUCAAAUCAUCAUGCCCCUUAUGUCUUGGGCUUCACGCAUGCUACAAUGGCCAGUACAAUGGGUUGCGAUGCCGCGAGGUGGAGCUAAUCCCAAAAAGCUGGUCUCAGUUCGGAUCGUGGUCUGCAACUCGACCACGUGAAGUCGGAGUCGCUAGUAAUCGCAGAUCAGCAACGCUGCGGUGAAUACGUUCCCGGGCCUUGUACACACCGCCCGUCAAGUCACGAAAGUUGGUAACACCCGAAAGC